CAGAUUUAGGAAAACAACUCACUGUUCCACUGAUCUUUUGAUGUGGACAGAAAGACUGCAUGUUGUGUUUUUUUUGUUGCACCAACAACACUGGGAGAAGGCAGCAGAAAAUGCUUCAAGAGAGAAAAAGAAGUUCAGAUACACAAGUUUGGCAGCAGUUAACUAACCUGGAUAUAAAGGCCUCAAAACAGACAGCGGAAAGCAUGACAGACACUGCAGACUGGUGACAACAGGUGAUGGCAAGUGUCAUUGGGAUUAGAUGGACUCUGGACAAUGAAGGCAGCGCCCAGAGUAGAUGUGCCAUCAAAGAGACUGCAAAACGUUCAUGAGGGACCUGCCCUGUCAACUUGUUAAGAUUUCAGGGCUCUGAUUUCUCAUCACUCUGGCAUGUUAUUGGCCCGUCCAAGACCCAAGCCCUGGUGAGUUACGGACACAGAACAAAAGACAGAGAAAAUUCUUGACUUGAACUUUUUUUU
Scatophagus argus is the source of this 476-nucleotide long non-coding RNA. RefSeq lists it as uncharacterized. The record is from RefSeq and is a predicted model, not a curated record. The transcript is spliced from 3 exons. NCBI's taxonomy places the organism in Eukaryota, Metazoa, Chordata, Actinopteri, Scatophagidae.